RNAcentral lists this transfer RNA (62 nucleotides) under Acanthaspis ruficeps. RNAcentral describes it as "tRNA-Ala". It matches the Rfam family "tRNA". From Rfam's summary of the family: Transfer RNA (tRNA) molecules are approximately 80 nucleotides in length. Their secondary structure includes four short double-helical elements and three loops (D, anti-codon, and T loops). The record is from RNAcentral. Lineage: Eukaryota; Metazoa; Arthropoda; Insecta; Hemiptera; Reduviidae.
GGGGAUGUAGUUAAAAAUAACAUUUAAUUUGCAAUUAAAAAGUACUUUUCAAGUCUUCCUCA